AUGUAUGUUCCAAAAGACCAAGGGGGUAUGAGCUUUAGAGAUAUACACUUUAAUCUGGCAUUGUUAGCUAAACAAGCUUGGCGUCUUCUUGAUAACCCUAAUUAUUUAUGUGCCAUAAUGUUGAGAGCCAAGUAUUUCCUUGAGGGUGAUUUGAUGAACGCGAGUUUAAAAAAGGACUCCUCUUUUACUUGGCAAAUCAUUACGGCGGGAGUAAACUCUCUCAGAAAUGGUUAUGUAUGGCGAGUUGGAAAUGGAGAAAAUAUUGAUAUCUAG
Molecule: ribosomal RNA, 273 nt
Filed under: Triticum aestivum (bread wheat)
Lineage: Eukaryota; Viridiplantae; Streptophyta; Magnoliopsida; Poales; Poaceae
Description: partial small subunit ribosomal RNA
Source: RNAcentral